Molecule: ribosomal RNA, 465 nt
Filed under: uncultured bacterium
Lineage: Bacteria
Description: partial 16S ribosomal RNA
Rfam family: Bacterial small subunit ribosomal RNA
Source: RNAcentral
CCUACGUGAGGCCGCAGUGGGGAAUAUUGCGCCAUGGGCGAAAGCCUGACGCAGCGACGCCGCGUGAGGGAUGAAGGUCUUCUGAUCGUAAACCUCUGUCAGCAGGGAAGAACGGUCACUUUGCUAAUCAUCAGUGAAUUGACGGUACCUGCAAAGGAAGCACCGGCUAACUCCGUGCCAGCAGCCGCGGUAAUACGGAGGGUGCGAGCGUUAAUCGGACUUACUGGGCGUAAAGCGCUCGUAGGCGGUAUGUCAAGUCAAGGGUGACAUCCCCGCGCUCAACGUGGGAACUGCCUUUGAAACUGGCAAACUGGAGUGUGUGAGAGGAUAGUGGAAUUGCAGGUGUAGGAGUGAAAUCCGUAGAUAUCGGGAGGAACAUCAGUGGCGAAGGCGACUAUCUGGCACAUAACUGACGCUGAGGAGCGAAAGCGUGGGUAGCAAACAGGAUUAGAUACCCUUGUAGUC